RNAcentral lists this ribosomal RNA (478 nucleotides) under uncultured bacterium. RNAcentral describes it as "partial 16S ribosomal RNA". It matches the Rfam family "Bacterial small subunit ribosomal RNA", at positions 28 to 507 of the family's 1533-position model. The record is from RNAcentral.
GAUGAACGCUGGCGGCGUGCUUAACACAUGCAAGUCGAACGAGAAGUGGAGACGGAAACCUUCGGGCGGAAGACUUUAUUUCGAGUGGCGGACGGGUGAGUAACGCGUGGGUAACCUGCCUCAUACAGGGGGAUAACAGUUGGAAACGACUGUUAAUACCGCAUAAGACCACAGCACCGCAUGGUGCGAGGGUAAAAACUCCGGUGGUAUGAGAUGGACCCGCGUUCGAUUAGCCAGUUGGCGGGGUAACGGCCCACCAAAGCGACGAUCGAUAGCCGAUCUGAGAGGAUGACCGGCCACAUUGGGACUGAGACACGGCCCAAACUCCUACGGGAGGCAGCAGUGGGGAAUAUUGCACAAUGGGGGAAACCCUGAUGCAGCGACGCCGCGUGAGUGAAGAAGUAUUUCGGUAUGUAAAGCUCUAUCAGCAGGGAAGAAAAUGACGGUACCUGAGUAAGAAGCCCCGGCUAACUACGUG